AAAAACUACGAAGAGGAAUUCACAUAGAUUUAGGAAGGGCCUGCUGUAUUUGUGUACAAGCUAAAGUUUUAUGAAAAACGAAUACUUUUGGUCACUUUCAUUGUCAAAUAGGCUUUUCCUUCGUAUACCUUACUUACCUCGACCUAGCGAAUCACAACACGAAAAAGGCAGUCCUUUUUUUCUAUAUUCAACCAAGAAAAACCCCGCCAC
Molecule: long non-coding RNA, 210 nt
Filed under: Nicotiana benthamiana
Lineage: Eukaryota; Viridiplantae; Streptophyta; Magnoliopsida; Solanales; Solanaceae
Description: long non-coding RNA (NBEN_LNC014584)
Source: RNAcentral